CGGGGAAAAAUACAUAGCGCUGGCGGCAGGCCUACACAUGCAGUCGAGCGGAUGACGGGAGCUUGCUCCUUGAUUCAGCGGCGGACGGGUGAGUAAUGCCUAGGAAUCUGCCUGGUAGUGGGGGACAACGUUCCGAAAGGGGCGCUAAUACCGCAUACGUCCUACGGGAGAAAGUGGGGGAUCUUCGGACCUCACGCUAUCAGAUGAGCCUAGGUCGGAUUAGCUAGUUGGUGAGGUAAUGGCUCACCAAGGCGACGAUCCGUAACUGGUCUGAGAGGAUGAUCAGUCACACUGGAACUGAGACACGGUCCAGACUCCUACGGGAGGCAGCAGUGGGGAAUAUUGGACAAUGGGCGAAAGCCUGAUCCAGCCAUGCCGCGUGUGUGAAGAAGGUCUUCGGAUUGUAAAGCACUUUAAGUUGGGAGGAAGGGCAGUAAGUUAAUACCUUGCUGUUUUGACGUUACCGACAGAAUAAGCACCGGCUAACUCUGUGCCAGCAGCCGCGGUAAUACAGAGGGUGCAAGCGUUAAUCGGAAUUACUGGGCGUAAAGCGCGCGUAGGUGGUUCGUUAAGUUGGAUGUGAAAGCCCCGGGCUCAACCUGGGAACUGCAUCCAAAACUGGCGAGCUAGAGUAUGGUAGAGGGUGGUGGAAUUUCCUGUGUAGCGGUGAAAUGCGUAGAUAUAGGAAGGAACACCAGUGGCGAAGGCGACA
RNAcentral lists this ribosomal RNA (712 nucleotides) under bacterium H10(2014). Its description in RNAcentral is "bacterial SSU rRNA". It matches the Rfam family "Bacterial small subunit ribosomal RNA", at positions 1 to 726 of the family's 1533-position model. The record is from RNAcentral.